GAGUUUGAUUAUGGCUCAGAUUGAACGCUGGCGGCAGGCUUAACACAUGCAAGUCGAACGAUGAUUACUAGCUUGCUAGUAUGAUUAGUGGCGAACGGGUGAGUAAUGCUUAGGAAUCUGCCUAUUAGUGGGGGACAACAUUCCGAAAGGAAUGCUAAUACCGCAUACGUCCUACGGGAGAAAGCAGGGGAUCUUUUGACCUUGCGCUAAUAGAUGAGCCUAAGUCGGAUUAGCUAGUUGGUGGGGUAAAGGCCUACCAAGGCGACGAUCUGUAGCUGGUCUGAGAGGAUGAUCAGCCACACUGGGACUGAGACACGGCCCAGACUCCUACGGGAGGCAGCAGUGGGGAAUAUUGGACAAUGGGCGAAAGCCUGAUCCAGCCAUGCCGCGUGUGUGAAGAAGGCCUUUUGGUUGNAAAGCACUUUAAGUGGGGAGGAAAAGCUAAUAAUUAAUACCUAUAGCCCUGACNUACCCCCA
Molecule: ribosomal RNA, 477 nt
Filed under: Moraxella sp. canine oral taxon 017
Lineage: Bacteria; Pseudomonadati; Pseudomonadota; Gammaproteobacteria; Moraxellales; Moraxellaceae
Description: bacterial SSU rRNA
Rfam family: Bacterial small subunit ribosomal RNA
Source: RNAcentral